This 497-nucleotide ribosomal RNA is filed under the name uncultured bacterium. Its description in RNAcentral is "partial 16S ribosomal RNA". It matches the Rfam family "Bacterial small subunit ribosomal RNA", at positions 28 to 507 of the family's 1533-position model. The record is from RNAcentral.
GAUGAACGCUGGCGGCGUGCCUAAUACAUGCAAGUCGAGCGAACAGACGAGGAGCUUGCUCCUCUGACGUUAGCGGCGGACGGGUGAGUAACACGUGGAUAACCUACCUAUAAGACUGGGAUAACUUCGGGAAACCGGAGCUAAUACCGGAUAAUAUAUUGAACCGCAUGGUUCAAUAGUGAAAGACGGUUUUGCUGUCACUUAUAGAUGGAUCCGCGCCGCAUUAGCUAGUUGGUAAGGUAACGGCUUACCAAGGCAACGAUGCGUAGCCGACCUGAGAGGGUGAUCGGCCACACGGGAACUGAGACACGGUCCAGACUCCUAAGGGAGGCAGCAGUAGGGAAUCUUCCGCAAUGGGCGAAAGCCUGACGGAGCAACGCCGCGUGAGUGAUGAAGGUCUUCGGAUCGUAAAACUCUGUUAUUAGGGAAGAACAAAUGUGUAAGUAACUAUGCACGUCUUGACGGUACCUAAUCAGAAAGCCACGGCUAACUACGUG